AUUGAACGCUGGCGGCAGGCCUAACACAUGCAAGUCGAACGAGUGGCGGACGGGUGAGUAAUGUCUGGGAAACUGCCCGAUGGAGGGGGAUAACUACUGGAAACGGUAGCUACUACCGCAUACCAUCGGAUGUGCCCAGAUGGGAUUAGCUAGUAGGUGGGGUAACGGCUCACCUAGGCGACGAUCCCUAGCUGGUCUGAGAGGAUGACCAGCCACGCUGGAGCGUGGACACGGUCGAGACUCCUACAGGAGGAAGAAGUGGGGAAUAUUGCACAAGGGGCGGAAGCCUGAUGCAGCCAUGCGGAGUGUAUGAAGAAGGCUUUCGGGUUGUAAAGUACUUUCAGCGAGGAGGCGGUACUCGCAGAAGAAGCACCGGCUAACUCCGUGCCAGCAGCCGCGGUAAUAC
Molecule: ribosomal RNA, 406 nt
Filed under: uncultured bacterium
Lineage: Bacteria
Description: partial 16S ribosomal RNA
Rfam family: Bacterial small subunit ribosomal RNA
Source: RNAcentral